GCUUGGCCCAAGAUGGCGGCCUCCGUGUGCAGCGGGUUGCUGGGGCCACGGGUGAGUGGGGCGACUCGGCAGGUCCCUGCGAGUCGGAGGUGGGGUCCCUAGUUUCCGCCUCACGCGCCCUCCCUCCACAGGUGCUGUCCUGGAGCCGAGAGCUGCCUUGCGCUUGGCGCGCCCUGCACACCUCCCCGGUCUGCGCCAAGAACCGGGCGGCCCGAGUACGCGUAAGCAAGGGGGACAAGGCGGUGACCUACGAGGAGGCACACGCGCCGCACUACAUCGCCCACCGUAAAGGCUGGCUGUCGCUGCACACAGGUGAGCGGACCCCAGGCCUCCAAAAGGAGCACUCAAUCCGACUGUCAUGUAAACAAAAUGAACACGUGUCACAGGUUUUCUUUAACUCAGGAAAUAAUGCUAGGGUCAGAAAUCUAUGAAACCAACUCAAGGGAGACAUAAAAAAGCAGAGAUAUAUAUAGAUCAGGAUGUUGAAACAAAUUUGAAGAUGGAUGCAAAACUGACUUUUUCCAUGGCAGGCAGGGACUCAAUUGAUCCUCCACUGAACAGAAAUUAUUUGCAUGUCUACAGACAAGAAUUAUUUUGCAUUCCUGUCAGUUAUCUGUAACUUACAGAGCUGUAAAAUAGCUCAGAGUCAAGGAAAGGAGUGAAACCGUUGCAGAAUCUGAUAACCCUGAACAGUGUGCUCUAAGGAAUGCAGUUUUCCACUAAAGCACAAAUUUUUCUCUGUAAAUAUAUACAGACAACCCUCGUUAUUCAUGAAUUCCAUAUUUUCAGAUUCUUCUACUGACUAAAAUUUAUUUGUAAGCCCCAAAUCAACACUCUGGGCACUCUCAAGGUCACUCUGAGAUGUGGGUAGAGCUGCCACCCCAGGUGCAUGUCCUGAGCUGAGGUCGACAAGGCUCUGCCUAGUUUCAGCUCUCAUACUGUAAAAGGUGUCCUUUUUAUGGUCUAGAAUCUUUUUUUUUUUAAUUUGCAUUUUCAUGCUUUUUGUUAGUGAUUUUGCUGUUUAAAAUGGCCUUGCAAUGCUGAAGUGCUAUCUAGUGUUCCUAAGCGGGAGAAGGCUGUGACGUGCCUUAGGGAGAACAUACAUGUAUUAGAGAAUCUUUCUUCAGUCAUGAGUUGCUCUUGGCCCUGAAUUCAAUGUUAGUGAAUCUACCAUAUAUAUUAAACAAGGUGUCUUUAAACAGAAACACAAAGGAAACUAGGUUAUGUAUUGAUUUGUUAACAAAAAUACGGUGCCCAGAGGCUGAAAGGAAUCUAACCCUGUAUUUCCCCUAGGAGCAAUGGUUCAGUAUUCACUAAGUCAGUGUUGGCAGUGACUUUAUAGAAUAUAACUAUUGUGAACAAUUGAUAACCAACUGUGCUUUGUUUAGUACAGGGGUUCUUGGAUGUUUGAGAUGCAUCUAGAGAACUUACUUAAAAUACAGAUGCUUGCCUGGCACGGUGGCUCACGUCUGUCAUCCCAGCACUUUGGGAGGCCGAGGAGGGUGGAUCCUGAGGUCAGGAGUUCAAUACCAACCUGGCCAAGAUGGUGAAACCCCAUCUCUACUAAAAAUACAAAAAAAUUAGCUGGGCGUAGUGGCGGGCGCCCGCAAUCCCAGCUAUUCAGGAGGCUGAGGCAGACAAUUGUUUGAACCCAAGAGGCGGAGGUUGCAGUGAGCCGAGAUCACGCCACUGCACUCCAGCCUGGGCGACAGAGUGAGACUCCAUCUC
This 1728-nucleotide small RNA is filed under the name Pan troglodytes (chimpanzee). RNAcentral describes it as "retained intron". Lineage: Eukaryota; Metazoa; Chordata; Mammalia; Primates; Hominidae. The record is from RNAcentral.